This 979-nucleotide long non-coding RNA is filed under the name Gallus gallus (chicken). RNAcentral describes it as "lncRNA (ENSGALG00010004867.1)". The record is from RNAcentral. Lineage: Eukaryota; Metazoa; Chordata; Aves; Galliformes; Phasianidae.
ACCUCUUGGUCCUCAGCUCUUUUGUGAGAAGCAGUGCUGUAUAGCCAGAGAGCCUCUUCGCCAGUUGGGUAGACCUUUACCCUCAGGAACUGAGCUGUGGGUUUGUACUUCUGAGAGCAGAAGGAAACAGGAUGUCGUAUACCCUUGUCCAUUAGUGCUUGAAAGGAGUUCAGUCUAAAAUUUUGAGUCCUAUUGCAAGACAUUUGAAAAUGGAAAAAAUGUUGUAUAGUGCUUGUCAUCCUUUCAUUGCUUCCGGAGUGCCUUCAUUAGCAACCCUGUAAAAUCCUGUGCUUUAUCAGAUUUCAUUUAUCACCAUUAAGGAUGACCCCAUCAUGUCUGUCCAUUGUCCACUUGCUCACAUAUUACCUCAUAGCUGUCAAACAAGUAAUAGGUGGAGGUCCAUUGGGCUGGUACUUCCUGUUCACUUUCAGAUGUACUGAUAAAAGGGUUGCUUGGAUGUCCCUCAGGGUUUGAGAUUCUGUCAAGCUAAGGCUGAAGGGUUGGCCUUUCUCCGUCUGUAUUUUAAACACACGUAUGCUCAUCUCAAUAUCAGCUGUGUGAAAGCAAAACUCCCAAAUCUAGAAAUACAAGCUUGUAUUAAUAUGCAGUUUCUUUGUGAACUGCUUGCUCAUCCUUGAGUCUUAACAAUAAAAAAGACCAGUGAUUUCAUGUAUUGUUUAUGAAAUAUAUGAAGAGAUGUACAAUGAAGAAAUAUAAAAGAAAAGCAAGAAAAGCUGUUGACUUACAAUAUCUUAUUUAAAAUUUUCUACUUUUCUUAUGCACACCCUCAUGAGUGUGGAUUUCAUUUCAAAAUUAUCUUGGCUCUGGAAUAUUUUACUGAAACUUGGCAGCUCUCUCUGGCUAUUGUGAAGCUUGAAUUGAGCAGCUCAGUCCCCACUAGGGUGUUAACUAACUUAAUCCAUAAAUACACUGAGAAUUAUAGGUGAUAAUAAAUGCUCACAGUUGGCUCUAUGUAUUU